Long non-coding RNA from Cervus elaphus (red deer), 500 nucleotides. RefSeq lists it as uncharacterized. NCBI's taxonomy places the organism in Eukaryota, Metazoa, Chordata, Mammalia, Artiodactyla, Cervidae. The transcript is spliced from 4 exons. The record is from RefSeq and is a predicted model, not a curated record.
UGUGUCUUGAAUGAGAACUUGUUCCUUCCUCAGAACAUGUUCUUGAUGAGAAUUCUACCCACAACCCCACAGGCAGUCACGUCCUGCAGCAGAUGGGGAUAUUACAGACCUAGGGAUUGAACCUGGAUCUCCUGCGUCGCUGGCAGGUGAAUUCUUUACUGGAUUCCUUUACACCACUUGGAAGUCCCUUGCCUUAAAGAAUUUUAAAUCACUCUGAAUUGAUAGUCAAAUUCAUGUGCGUUCAGCUGACUGGAACUAAAAGACAAUGGGACCCAUACAGUGAAAUUGAGUCCAGCUUCAAGGAAUGCAGCAACGAUGUAGGCACCAUGGAGCAUGUGGGCUCUUCUCUUCCCGACUAGGGUUGAACCCUCACGUGCAUUGGAAGAUAAAAUCUUAACCACUGGACUGCCAGGGAAACCCUAGCAACUGUUUUUGUUUGAGGAAAAAUCUUAUGACUCUAUCGUACCAUUUUGUAUUUGAGAAUAAAAAGAAUAUGGCAA